AGACCACACACACCUACAGACCACAUAAUUUUAGGGCAAAUCAUUAUUAAAGCCUCCCCAAUGGCCUCCAUCUCUAUUCUCGUUCUUAACUCUAAACUUGCCCUCUCUCUAUCUCUGCAACUACAAACUACAAAAUGUACAAGAAUCAGAUCGGCCUUCUAGAUAGCCUCCAUCUCUAUUCUCGUUCUCAACUCUGAACUUGCCCUCUCUCUGUCUUUGCAACUACAAACUACAAAAUCUACAAGAAUCAGAACCCAUAUCGGCAUAUCAUUUCAGAUUGUUCAAAAAAUCAAAACCCAUAUCCUUCAGUUUCCAUCGCCUGCUGUUCUAGUUCAGGUUCGCCAAUCGAAAGCUUCAGCCUCAGGCCCGUUGUCUCUCAACUCUCAAGCCUUCUCUACUCUCUCAUAAGGAUGACGUUGAGUAACGACUUGAAGAUCAGCAAUCGACCAAAAUUACAAAACUCUACAGUAUGCAGCUGCUAGAGCAUGGACUAAAUGGGAAAUGAUGACUGCUCAUCUUCUUCCAAAUGAAGAGAAUAUCAAGAGAGGGGAUGAUGAUAAGUUUUCAUUGAUUGCAGGGAGGAGAUAAUAGCUUACUUUCGCUUUCUCCCUCAAGCUAAUACAAGCAAGGAUGCAGACUUAUGGAUCCCAACAGACACAAAGCAGUGGCAGCAACCUCCUUUAAUAACACCUAUUAAAUCAAUGAGUAGUGAACCUCUUUGUGUGCAGCUAUAUUUGGAACAUCCAAGUUUCUUUGAACCAAAGCCUUAAGGAGAGCAGCCACUACAAUCACUAUAAAGCAGGCUACAAAAAGAAAGCCACCUCUACUGGAUCAGUCUUGGAGGGCUCAGGAUCUUCUAGGAGCUCAGUGCCAUCAACGAUUAUGAAUGAGUCUCCAUCGGAAAAUGAAAGAAAGUUGCAUGUGAAAACUGAGGUUUGAAUGAGCUUAUUAUGCAAUUAAGGCACUGCUUUGAGAUGUUUGUGGGUAUUAUCACUGGAAACCUCACGAGACUACAACUCGUCCACUAAGGGUAACCUAAGGCUUUAAAGGCUUGUUGCAUAAGCUAAAUGCAACCGUGAUUCCCAUGAAAGCGGCUUUUUAGUUCUGUAUUACUAAGCGACUAACAAUAUGUACUUUCCUAAAGAAAUGAUUAAAACUGGGAUUUUAAGAUGAAAAGACCGAUAUUGAAGCUUAUAGAGUCGUUGCUGAUCAUCUGAAGCAAGUUUGAGGUUAAAAUGACGAUUUUAGAGACGUUUAAGUGCCACAGCUCGAGCAUAAGUUCCAUAGCUCGAGACUAAAGUCAAUAAAAGCAAGGAAAUCAACUAAGGCUAAAAAUCUUGAGCCAUGAUAUCUCAGCUCAAGUCGAAACUUAAGGUGCUCGAGUGUUUGCAAAAAUGUUUGAGCAAAAGUGCCUCAAAAUAUGAAAAGAUGCUUCAGAAGUUCCAUAUUGCCAGAUCACGAGCCUAAGCCAAAAGGCUCGAGCCUUUUCCCAAAAAACUCGAGUUGAAGUCCCAAGGCUCGAGUACCAAGUCAUGGUGAUCGAGUACUGUUCAGAAGAAUCCCAAAAAUAUUCUAAGUGUUGAUGAAAAAGACGCUUUAGAAAAGAUUUGAAGAAAAAUGACUAAGUAUAGAAGUUUGGCUCGAGCAACCUUCCAAAUAGCUUGAGCCUAUGCCAAAAAGCUUGAGCUUAAGCUUCAUAACUUGAGCCCUUGUUGUUAAGUCAUAAUUUUAAGUUGCUCAAAACUUGGUGUGUGACUGUGGUCGCAUACGCACAAAAAUUGCUUGAUGAUUGUGGCCAAGUUUAAAUUUGUAAAAGCCACUACCAUUACUAAUUACUAACAUAGCAAAAGUGAGUAGGGAUCAUCCCAAGGGAUUUGCAAGGUAUUCCAGAAUUAAUGUUGGGUUAGUAGGUCAAAUAAUCAAAUAGGGUUUGAUUAGUUGAAUUACACUAAUGGUUCAAUUAAAAUCAUAUAAAUUAACAACAAUCUAGAAUUUAGGGAAAAGAGUAUGAGAGAAUGGUCUUGGGCUUAGAGUUCACCACUAAGCUUCACUUCACCAAACACUAGCAAUUAUAAAUUAAAAGGGAAAUUCAUGUUGUAAAUCUAAUGUGUGUGUGUGUCAUUAAUUGAAAACUAAGCAUGGAUGGCAAAUAAGCAUAAAUUGUCCAAUCAAUUUAAUGAGUAUCAUAACCUAUAAAAAAAAACACCAUUAACCAUUCAAU
Cornus florida is the source of this 2221-nucleotide long non-coding RNA. RefSeq lists it as uncharacterized. The transcript is spliced from 7 exons. NCBI's taxonomy places the organism in Eukaryota, Viridiplantae, Streptophyta, Magnoliopsida, Cornales, Cornaceae. The record is from RefSeq and is a predicted model, not a curated record.